UUAGGCACAUCUGAUUGAUUUUUGUUGAGAAAGGAUUGUAGCUUGUAGAAUUGCUUGGCAUUCGAAAUCAACGAUGGUAAGCGAAUAAUAGCCAUAUCUUGUUUUGAGGGUUUGAUUUGUUUACUCUGGAUUUAGCUCUAGUUGUUGUUGCACUGUGAAUUCUUGAAGAUUGAGGAUGCCUAUUUAUAUACAAAUAUUUACUUAUUAAUUUAUGCAUAAUAUUUAUAUAUAUUAUAAUUGCUAGAGCUGGAAUUUGGGGGCUCUGAUACUUUUUAAGAGGGGGUCUACAUUACCAAGGAGGUGCACAUGGCUUCUGUCACGAAAUUCCCAAAAAAAGAAAAAAGAAAAAAAUAAAGUUUCUUAUCCAUAGAUCAUCUUCACAUGGUUUAGGAAUCCCACUUGCACCUUUCAAGUUUAUAUCAUGAAUCUAAAUAUGCUUUUAUUACAGGUUCCGGAUAAAAAGGGGCAACAUAUAACCCGGAGUUGCUUAACCGUUUACAUGGUAUGUUCUAAAUAUUUGUGUAAUGAUUUGAAUUUAAUUAUAUAAAUCUUUUUGAUGGGUCCAAGUAUUUUUAAUCCACCUACCAGCAUAAUAUGCCCCCACCUUUUGUUGCAACUGUUAUAGAGGAUAGAUUUCCUUCAUUUUGAAAAGCAGUUAUAUGACUCAUUGGCCUUGCCCACCGUAUUUCAUUUCUGGUAUGUCUUAUUCUUAAUAAAAUAUUUUAAUCGUAAGUUUUGAUAAUAAAUUGAUUUACUAUCU
This 760-nucleotide long non-coding RNA is filed under the name Erythranthe guttata (spotted monkey flower). RNAcentral's name for it is "long non-coding RNA (EGUT_LNC001066)". The record is from RNAcentral. Lineage: Eukaryota; Viridiplantae; Streptophyta; Magnoliopsida; Lamiales; Phrymaceae.